Molecule: transfer RNA, 90 nt
Filed under: Verrucomicrobiota bacterium
Lineage: Bacteria; Pseudomonadati; Verrucomicrobiota
Also listed under: 1 other name
Description: Verrucomicrobia bacterium (groundwater metagenome) tRNA-Ser
Rfam family: tRNA
About the family: Transfer RNA (tRNA) molecules are approximately 80 nucleotides in length. Their secondary structure includes four short double-helical elements and three loops (D, anti-codon, and T loops).
Source: RNAcentral
GGAGAGGUGGCUGAGCGGUUGAAAGCGCCGGUCUCGAAAACCGGUUUGGCCGAAAGGUCAACGUGAGUUCAAAUCUCACCCUCUCCGCCA